CCUACGGGUGGCAGCAGUGGGGAAUAUUGCACAAUGGUGGAAACCCUGAUGCAGCGACGCCGCGUGAGUGAAGAAGUAUUUCGGUAUGUUAAGCUCUAUCAGCCGGGGAGAAAAUGACGGUACCUGACUACGAAUCCCCGGCUAACUACGUACCGGCCGCCCCGAGAAUACGUAGGGGGCCAGCGUUAUCCGGAUUUACUGGGUGUAAAGGGGGCGUAGACGGGAGCACAGGUCUGGAGUGAAAUGCCGGGGCUUAACCCCGGAACCGCGGUGGAAACUGUGCAGCUAGAGUGGGAGAGAGGUAAGUGGAAUGCGUAGUGUAGCGGUGAAAUGCGUAGAUAUUAGGAGGAACACCAGUGGCGAAGGCAGCUUGCUGGACUGUCACUGACGUUGAGGCUCGAAAGCGUGGGGAGCAAACAGGAUUAGAUACCCUAGUAGUC
RNAcentral lists this ribosomal RNA (440 nucleotides) under uncultured bacterium. Its description in RNAcentral is "partial 16S ribosomal RNA". It matches the Rfam family "Bacterial small subunit ribosomal RNA", at positions 338 to 795 of the family's 1533-position model. The record is from RNAcentral.